GUCUCUUCGGGGAUGAUUAAACCGGCGCACGGGUGACUACACGUGAGUGACCUGCCUUUUAGACUGGAACAACUUACCGAAAGGUGAGCUAAUGCCGGAUGAGUUAUAUAAGUGCAUGUUUAUAUAGGAAAAGUUGGGGAGACCUGACGCUGAAAGAUGGACUCGCGUCCCAUUAGCUAGUUGGUAGGGUAAUGGCCUACCAAGGCGACGAUGGGUAGCCGGCCUGAGAGGGUGGCCGGCCACACUGGGACUGAGACACGGCCCAGACUCCUACGGGAGGCAGCAGUGGGGAAUUUUGCGCAAUGCUCGUAAGAGUGACGCAGCGACGCCGCGUGAAUGACGAAGGCCUUCGGGUCGUAAAGUUCUUUCGACAGGGAAGAAAAUGCCUAUAAGUAACUGUGUAUGUAUUGACGGUACCUGUAUAAGCAGCCCCGGCUAACUCCGUGCCAGCAGCCGCGGUAAUACGGAGGGGGCGAGCGUUGUUCGGAGUGACUGGGCGUAAAGAGCACGUAGGCGGUGUUGUAAGUCAUUAGUCAAAGACUAGAGCUCAACUUUAGUAAGGCUAGUGAUACUAUAAUACUAGAGUAUCAGAGAGGAUUGCAGAAUUCCUGGUGUAGCGGUGAAAUGCGUAGAUAUCAGGAGGAAUACCGUUAGCGAAGGCGGCAAUCUGGCUGGAAACUGACGCUGAGGUGCGAAAGCGUGGGUAGCAAACAGGAUUAGAUACCCUGGUAGUCCACGCUGUAAACGAUGGAUGCUAGGUGUUGGGCUUUUAAGUUCAGUGCCGCAGCAAACGCGAUAAGCAUCCCGCCUGGGG
RNAcentral lists this ribosomal RNA (814 nucleotides) under uncultured bacterium. Its description in RNAcentral is "bacterial SSU rRNA". It matches the Rfam family "Bacterial small subunit ribosomal RNA", at positions 74 to 878 of the family's 1533-position model. The record is from RNAcentral.